Phrynosoma platyrhinos (Desert horned lizard) is the source of this 71-nucleotide non-coding RNA. Lineage: Eukaryota; Metazoa; Chordata; Lepidosauria; Squamata; Phrynosomatidae. The record is from the annotation of a GenBank genome assembly.
GCCUGUGUGGUCUAGUGGUUUGAACACUAGACAAAAACUCUUGAUGCUAGGGUUCAAAUCCCUGCUUGACU